AACGAACGCUGGCGGCAUGCCUAACACAUGCAAGUCGAACGAGACCUUCGGGUCUAGUGGCGGACGGGUGCGUAACGCGUGGGAACCUGCCCUUAGGUUCGGAAUAACUCCCCGAAAGGGGUGCUAAUACCGGAUAAUGUCUUCGGACCAAAGAUUUAUCGCCUUUGGAUGGGCCCGCGUUGGAUUAGCUAGUUGGUAGGGUAAAAGCCUACCAAGGCGACGAUCCAUAGCUGGUCUGAGAGGAUGAUCAGCCACACUGGGACUGAGACACGGCCCAGACUCCUACGGGAGGCAGCAGUGGGGAAUAUUGGACAAUGGGCGAAAGCCUGAUCCAGCAAUGCCGCGUGAGUGAUGAAGGCCUUAGGGUUGUAAAGCUCUUUUACCCGGGAUGAUAAUGACAGUACCGGGAGAAUAAGCUCCGGCUAACUCCGUG
RNAcentral lists this ribosomal RNA (433 nucleotides) under uncultured bacterium. RNAcentral describes it as "partial 16S ribosomal RNA". It matches the Rfam family "Bacterial small subunit ribosomal RNA", at positions 29 to 507 of the family's 1533-position model. The record is from RNAcentral.